AGAACGAACGCUGGCGGCAUGCCUAACACAUGCAAGUCGAACGAGACCUUCGGGUCUAGUGGCGCACGGGUGCGUAGCGCGUGGGAACCUGCCUUUAGGUUCGGAAUAACUCAGAGAAAUUUGAGCUAAUACCGGAUAAUGUCUUCGGACCAAAGAUUUAUCGCCUUUAGAUGGGCCCGCGUAGGAUUAGCUUGUGGUGGGGUAAUGGCCUACAAGGCGACGAUCCUUAGCUGGUCUGAGAGGAUGAUCAGCCACACUGGGACUGAGACACGGCCCAGACUCCUACGGGAGGCAGCAGUGGGAAUAUUGGACAAGUGGGACGAAAGCCUGACUCCAGCAAUGCCGCGUGAGUGAAUCGAAGGCCGUUAAGGGUGUAAACGUCCCGUUUUACCGGGAUCGAUAAGUGACAGUACCGGAG
This 418-nucleotide ribosomal RNA is filed under the name uncultured soil bacterium. Its description in RNAcentral is "bacterial SSU rRNA". It matches the Rfam family "Bacterial small subunit ribosomal RNA", at positions 26 to 483 of the family's 1533-position model. The record is from RNAcentral.